UGCCUGAGAGCCCCCUUCUGCCCUUGGAUUAAUGCCCCUCCUUCGUACUGCUUGUGCCCAUAACUGCUUCCCCUAUUUCUGCAAAGACAAAUUCAAACUCCCGCGAAGGCGGGAAACUCAUACUCGCCCACUGCUGUGGGCAUAACCUAGUUCCUAGGCAAACAAAAAGAAAACGAAAACAAUCUAAAAGAAAGAAAUAAAAUAAAAAACACCAGGUUACCUCCUGGCCAGUGCCCUAUUUAUCGUCCCGAGCAUGACGUGGUACCUGUCAAUCAACCCAGGUGUUUGUGGCUGGGGCGAGAUCUUCUUCCUCCCCAACGUUGGGUUUUGCCCAUAAUAAGCUUUCAACCUUUGCCCAUUCACCUUGAACACUCCUCCAG
Molecule: long non-coding RNA, 380 nt
Filed under: Salvia miltiorrhiza (redroot sage)
Lineage: Eukaryota; Viridiplantae; Streptophyta; Magnoliopsida; Lamiales; Lamiaceae
Description: long non-coding RNA (SMIL_LNC001170)
Source: RNAcentral